CACCCACAGCAAUGGCCAAAGGCACAUUUUGUUGGUGUUGUUGAUCUUAUAUCAGUCAAGGGCAAAGCAGAUGGAAGCUCUUUGUUUAUCCUGUCCUGAUGCCUGACUUAAUGGCCAACACCAUUUUAUGCCUAGGACACAUUA
Molecule: small nucleolar RNA, 144 nt
Organism: Arvicanthis niloticus (Nile rat)
Lineage: Eukaryota; Metazoa; Chordata; Mammalia; Rodentia; Muridae
Product: small nucleolar RNA SNORA48
Source: RefSeq, a predicted model, not a curated record